GGAGGUGCAACAUGGUGAUCUCUGUAGACAUGAACCUGCUGCCUAUGUAUAUAUAAAGGCUCAUUCUAAGUUUGUACAGCUUAUUGGUCUGCUCUGGACUACAUCAUGUUGGUGAUGCGUGUGGCUGAACUCCUCCUUAUAACUGUGAUUACUGUUCAUCUCUUCAGAGCUCCAGGGAACCAGAGACCACCUGAUGACAACACUGUGAAUUGUAAUGCAAAUGGACAAGACGUUACAGUGAACUAUGAAAACGUCACAGUGCCUUCUGUUUCUGUCACACUCCCCUGAUCAACACCCUCCACACCAACAUCAACUGAGAACUGUUAAACAUGUCUUUGCAGCAUUAUUUUAUGCUGAAAACAUAAAUCCUAAUAUCAUUUGAGGUCUCAGAUGACGUGUUGUUUAAUGUACUGAUGUGGAGAAAAAAAGUUGAUGUUGUGUUAAACCAGUUCUCACUUGCAGCCAGAUAUUAAAGCAUUAAUUUUAUCUCAUUUUAAGAAUGUUGCUGUACAUUUAAGGACGUUUUGUUUUUUCCUGUAUCAGUUCUGAAAUAACACAACUUCAGACGACUUUCUCAGGGCGUCAUCCAUUUGAUUUUAGGUCUGCAUUUUUCUGAUUGCCUUUUCAAUUUGUGAAUAGCUCAUCAUGACUUUACUUUAUGUGUAGAAUAACUCAUUUAAUCCAUGUUUAUAUGGCAAUGUUGCUUUGGAGUCCACUGUGUGUGUGCUUGUCUUGCAGAGUAAGUUUUUCUUCAUUAUAAUUGAUUAAAUGA
Non-coding RNA from Epinephelus lanceolatus (giant grouper), 772 nucleotides. The record is from RefSeq and is a predicted model, not a curated record. NCBI's taxonomy places the organism in Eukaryota, Metazoa, Chordata, Actinopteri, Perciformes, Serranidae.